CAGGCCUAACACAUGCAAGUCGAGCGAUGAACCGGUGCUUGCAUCGGGGAUUAGUGGCGAACGGGUGAGUAACACGUGAGUAACCUGCCCUUGACUCUGGGAUAAGCCUGGGAAACUGGGUCUAAUACCGGAUAUGACCAUCUGACGCAUGUCAUGGUGGUGGAAAGCUUUUGUGGUUUUGGAUGGACUCGCGGCCUAUCAGCUUGUUGGUGGGGUAAUGGCCUACCAAGGCGACGACGGGUAGCCGGCCUGAGAGGGUGACCGGCCACACUGGGACUGAGACACGGCCCAGACUCCUACGGGAGGCAGCAGUGGGGAAUAUUGCACAAUGGGCGCAAGCCUGAUGCAGCGACGCCGCGUGAGGGAUGACGGCCUUCGGGUUGUAAACCUCUUUCAGUAGGGAAGAAGCGAAAGUGACGGUACCUGCAGAAGAAGCGCCGGCUAACUACGUGCCAGCAGCCGCGGUAAUACGUAGGGCGCAAGCGUUAUCCGGAAUUAUUGGGCGUAAAGAGCUCGUAGGCGGUUUGUCGCGUCUGCUGUGAAAGACCGGGGCUCAACUCCGGUUCUGCAGUGGGUGCAGUAGGGGAGACUGGAAAUUCCUGGUGUAGCGGUGAAAUGCGCAGAUAUCAGGAGGAACACCGAUGGCGAAGGCAGGUCUCUGGGCUGUAACUGACGCUGAGGAGCGAAAGCAUGGGGAGCGAACAGGAUUAGAUACCCUGGUAGUCCAUGCCGUAAACGUUGGGCACUAGGUGUGGGGGACAUUCCACGUUUUCCGCGCCGUAGCUAACGCAUUAAGUGCCCCGCCUGGGGAGUACGGCCGCAAGGCUAAAACUCAAAGGAAUUGACGGGGGCCCGCACAAGCGGCGGAGCAUGCGGAUUAAUUCGAUGCAACGCGAAGAACCUUACCAAGGCUUGACAUGAACCGGAAAGACCUGGAAACAGGUGCCCCGCUUGCGGUCGGUUUACAGGUGGUGCAUGGUUGUCGUCAGCUCGUGUCGUGAGAUGUUGGGUUAAGUCCCGCAACGAGCGCAACCCUCGUUCUAUGUUGCCAGCGCGUUAUGGCGGGGACUCAUAGGAGACUGCCGGGGUCAACUCGGAGGAAGGUGGGGACGACGUCAAAUCAUCAUGCCCCUUAUGUCUUGGGCUUCACGCAUGCUUCAAUGGCCGGUACAAAGGGUUGCGAUACUGUGAGGUGGAGCUAAUCCCAAAAAGCCGGUCUCAGUUCGGAUUGGGGUCUGCAACUCGACCCCAUGAAGUCGGAGUCGCUAGUAAUCGCAGAUCAGCAACGCUGCGGUGAAUACGUUCCCGGGCCUUGUACACUCCGCCC
RNAcentral lists this ribosomal RNA (1327 nucleotides) under Paenarthrobacter aurescens. Its description in RNAcentral is "bacterial SSU rRNA". It matches the Rfam family "Bacterial small subunit ribosomal RNA", at positions 43 to 1395 of the family's 1533-position model. The record is from RNAcentral. Lineage: Bacteria; Bacillati; Actinomycetota; Actinomycetes; Micrococcales; Micrococcaceae.